RNAcentral lists this ribosomal RNA (504 nucleotides) under uncultured bacterium. RNAcentral describes it as "partial 16S ribosomal RNA". It matches the Rfam family "Bacterial small subunit ribosomal RNA", at positions 30 to 523 of the family's 1533-position model. The record is from RNAcentral.
AUUGAACGCUGGCGGCAGGCCUAACACAUGCAAGUCGGACGGUAGCACAGAGAGCUUGCUCUCGGGUGACGAGUAGCGGACGGGUGAGUAAUGUCUGGGAAACUGCCCGAUGGAGGGGGAUAACUACUGGAAACGGUAGCUAAUACCGCAUAACGUCUUCGGACCAAAGUGGGGGACCUUCGGGCCUCACACCAUCGGAUGUGCCCAGAUGGGAUUAGCUAGUAGGUGGGGUAAUGGCUCACCUAGGAGACGAUCCCUAGCUGGUCUGAGAGGAAGACCAGCCACACUGGAACUGAGACACGGUCCAGACCCCUACGGGAGGCAGCAGUUGGGAAGAUUGCACAAUGGGCGCAAGCCUGAUGCAGCCAUGCCGCGUGUAUGAAGAAGGCCUUCGGGUUGUAAAGUACUUUCAGCGGGGGGGAAGGCGAUGGAGUUAAUAGCUUCAUCGAUUGACGUUACCCGCAGAAGAAGCACCGGCUAACUCCGUGCCAGCAGCCGCAGUAA